AAUUUGAUCUGGUAUUAGUGAUCUCUACGGAACAUAAAAAUAUAAAAUAAACUGCCGUGUUAUGUAUGAUCAUGAUAAAUAGAACAAUGCUAGUACUAGAUCUAGAUCUAGAUCUAUUAGUAAUAGUAGAAUAAAUAGAUCUAUUAAAGUUGUUAGGCCUAAAUGACUUUUAAAAUGUAUAAUCUAGUUUCAUGCUGUUCAACCGUUAAAGUAAAUGAAAAUCAUUAAUCAUGAUGGCAUGGCCCGACAAGAAGACCGAAACUUUGGACUGUAAACAAGGAGCUGUAAGAUGCGUGAAGUUUAAUGUUGAUGGCAACUAUUGCAUAACAUGUGGUAGUGAUAAAAGUGUCAAAUUAUGGAAUCCCUUGAGAAACUUGCUUCUUAAGACUUACAUUGGCCAUGGUUAUGAAGUGCUUGAUGCACAAAGCUCUGGAGAUAAUUCUCAUAUUUGCUCUGGCGGAAUGGACAAAAGUGUUGUUCUUUUUGAUGUAUCAACUGGACAGGCAGUCAGAAAAUUUAGAGAUCAUGCAGGUACUGUCAACACUGUUUGCUUUAAUGAAGAAUCUACUGUCAUUUUAUCAGGCUCCAUAGAUUGUUCAGUUAGAGUAUGGGAUAUACGGAGUCGAAAAAAUCAGCCUAUUCAGGUGAUAGAUGAGGCCAAAGAUAGUGUCACAUCAAUUCAAGUAUCAGAUCACGAAAUACUUACUGGUUCUGCUGAUUGUAGAGUUAGAAGAUAUGACCUUAGAAUUGGAAGAAUGUUUUCUGAUUUUGUUGGAAAGGCUAUAUCUUGUGUGAGAUUCACCAGAGAUGGUCAGUGCAUACUAGUGGGCUCCACAGAUACAAGCAUUAAACUUCUAGAUAAAGAUAGCGGAGAAAUGCUUAAUGAGUACUCUGGUCACAAGAACUCAAACUAUAAAAUAGACUGUUGCCUCAACCAUAAAGACACACAUGUUCUUAGUGGAUCUGAAGAUGGUGCUAUCUACAUAUGGGAUCUAUUAGAUGCCAAGCUUCUAGAAAAACUGGACUCCAAAACAAGCAAAACAGUGCAUUCAAUCUCAUUCCAUCCUACAGAGCCCAUUUUACUGAGUGCGUGUGGAGAUAAAGUGUUUGUAUGGGAGAGCAAUCAAGUUGAUUAAUUAAGGAAAAUACUACUCAGUUGAGUUGUAACUGACACAACCACAAAUGUGCAUAGAUCUAGUAUAAAAGGUGGAAACGUUAAGCCAAGACUGAAUUUGUUCUUACUAUAUAAAAGUCCAAGUACCCAAGUACUCUCUCUCUGUGUCCGCAUGUCCCGAGCAUAAGAGAUCAGUAUCUUCAGCGAUAUAUGGAGAUCUUAAAGAUAUGGACUUCAGUUGAAAA
Physella acuta is the source of this 1359-nucleotide RNA transcript. It is a transcript of the gene named WD repeat domain-containing protein 83, with no coding region annotated. The record is from RefSeq and is a predicted model, not a curated record. Lineage: Eukaryota; Metazoa; Mollusca; Gastropoda; Physidae.